GGCUUCGUGGUCGCGUGGUAAAGAAACUUGCCUCUCAACGUGGGGUCCCGGGUUCGAUCCCCGGUCGAGGAGCUA
This is a non-coding RNA of Rhamnusium bicolor, 75 nucleotides long. Lineage: Eukaryota; Metazoa; Arthropoda; Insecta; Coleoptera; Cerambycidae. The record is from the annotation of a GenBank genome assembly.